RNAcentral lists this ribosomal RNA (301 nucleotides) under uncultured bacterium. RNAcentral describes it as "partial 16S ribosomal RNA". It matches the Rfam family "Bacterial small subunit ribosomal RNA", at positions 509 to 807 of the family's 1533-position model. The record is from RNAcentral.
CAGCAGCCACGGUAAUACGGAGGGGGCUAGCGUUGUUCGGAAUUACUGGGCGUAAAGCGCACGUAGGCGGAUAUUUAAGUCAGGGGUGAAAUCCCAGAGCUCAACUCUGGAACUGCCUUUGAUACUGGGUAUCUUGAGUAUGGAAGAGGUGAGUGGAAUUCCGAGUGUAGAGGUGAAAUUCGUAGAUAUUCGGAGGAACAUCAGUGGCGAAGGCGGCUCACUGGUCCAUUACUGACGCUGAGGUGCGAAAGCGUGGGGAGCAAACAGGAUUAGAUACCCCAGUAGUCCCUGUCUCUUAUAC